AGAGUUUGAUCCUGGCUCAGGACGAACGCUGGCGGCGUGCUUCACACAUGCAAGUCGAGCGGACACCAUCCGGUAGCAAUACUGGUGAAGUGUUAGCGGCGAACGGGUGAGCAACACGUGAGCAACCUGCCCCCAAGUCUGGGAUAACCCCGGGAAACCGGAGCUAAUACCGGAUGCCCUCGUCGGGCCGCAUGACCUGA
RNAcentral lists this ribosomal RNA (200 nucleotides) under uncultured bacterium. RNAcentral describes it as "partial 16S ribosomal RNA". It matches the Rfam family "Bacterial small subunit ribosomal RNA", at positions 8 to 198 of the family's 1533-position model. The record is from RNAcentral.